GACCCUCCCGGCCUUCCCGCCCCCGGGCGGGUCGGCGCCCCGCCGGAGGAUAACCAAACUCUGAUUUAACGACGUUUCUUCUGAGUGGUACAAGCAAAUAAUCAAAACUUUUAACAACGGAUCUCUUGGUUCUGGCAUCGAUGAAGAACGCAGCGAAAUGCGAUAAGUAAUGUGAAUUGCAGAAUUCAGUGAAUCAUCGAAUCUUUGAACGCACAUUGCGCCCGCCAGCAUUCUGGCGGGCAUGCCUGUUCGAGCGUCAUUUCAACCCUCAAGCUCUGCUUGGUGUUGGGGCCCUACAGCUGAUGUAGGCCCUCAAAGGUAGUGGCGGACCCUCCCGGAGCCUCCUUUGCGUAGUAACUUUACGUCUCGCACUGGGAUCCGGAGGGACUCUUGCCGUAAAACCCCCCAAUUUCCAAAGGUGACCUCGGAUCA
RNAcentral lists this ribosomal RNA (432 nucleotides) under Colletotrichum gloeosporioides. RNAcentral describes it as "eukaryotic LSU rRNA". The stretch from base 106 to 259 matches the Rfam family "5.8S ribosomal RNA". The record is from RNAcentral. Lineage: Eukaryota; Fungi; Ascomycota; Sordariomycetes; Glomerellales; Glomerellaceae.